RNAcentral lists this ribosomal RNA (253 nucleotides) under uncultured bacterium. RNAcentral describes it as "partial 16S ribosomal RNA". It matches the Rfam family "Bacterial small subunit ribosomal RNA", at positions 524 to 776 of the family's 1533-position model. The record is from RNAcentral.
UACGUAGGGUGCGAGCGUUAAUCGGAAUUACUGGGCGUAAAGUGUGCGCAGGCGGUCUCGCAAGUCAAGUGUGAAAGCCCCGGGCUCAACCUGGGAAUUGCAUUCGAAACUGCGAGGCUAGGGUACGGAAGAGGGAAGCGGAAUUUCUGGUGUAGCGGUGAAAUGCGUAGAUAUCAGAAGGAACAUCAGUGGCGAAAGCGGCUUCCUGGUCCAGUACCGACGUUCAGGCACGAAAGCGUGGGGAGCAAACAGG